UCCCAGACUCCUCGGGAGGCAGCAGUGGGGAAUAUUGCACAAUGGGGGAAACCCUGAUGCAGCGACGCCGCGUGAGUGAAGAAGCGCCUCGGCGCGUAAAGCUCUGUCAGCAGGAACGACGAUGACGGUACCUGAAGAAGAAGCCCCGGCUAACUACGUGCCAGCAGCCGCGGUAAUACGUAGGGGGCAAGCGUUAUCCGGAUUCAUUGGGCGUAAAGCGCGCGCAGGCGGGCCGCUAAGCGGGACCUCUAAUCUUGGGGCUCAACCUCAAGCCGGGUCCCGAACUGGCAGCCUCGAGUGCGGUAGGGGUAAGCGGAAUUCCCGGUGUAGCGGUGGAAUGCGCAGAUAUCGGGAAGAACACCGAUGGCGAAGGCAGCUUACUGGGCCGACACUGACGCUGAGGCGCGAAAGCUAGGGGAGCGAACAGGAUUAGAUACCCCCGUAAA
RNAcentral lists this ribosomal RNA (446 nucleotides) under uncultured bacterium. RNAcentral's name for it is "bacterial SSU rRNA". It matches the Rfam family "Bacterial small subunit ribosomal RNA", at positions 329 to 794 of the family's 1533-position model. The record is from RNAcentral.